Molecule: ribosomal RNA, 460 nt
Filed under: uncultured Chitinophagaceae bacterium
Lineage: Bacteria; Pseudomonadati; Bacteroidota; Chitinophagia; Chitinophagales; Chitinophagaceae
Description: bacterial SSU rRNA
Rfam family: Bacterial small subunit ribosomal RNA
Source: RNAcentral
CCUACGGGGGGCUGCAGUAAGGAAUAUUGGUCAAUGGACGCAAGUCUGAACCAGCCAUGCCGCGUGGAGGAUGAAGGUCCUCUGGAUUGUAAACUUCUUUUAUUUGGGAAGAAACCCACGAUUUCUAUUGUGGUUGACGGUACCAGAUGAAUAAGCACCGGCUAACUCCGUGCCAGCAGCCGCGGUAAUACGGAGGGUGCAAGCGUUAUCCGGAUUCACUGGGUUUAAAGGGUGCGUAGGCGGGCAGGUAAGUCAGUGGUGAAAUCUCCGAGCUUAACUUGGAAACUGCCGUUGAUACUAUCUGUCUUGAAUGCUGUGGAGGUAAGCGGAAUAUGUCAUGUAGCGGUGAAAUGCUUAGAUAUGACAUAGAACACCUAUUGCGAAGGCAGCUUGCUACACAGAAAUUGACGCUGAGGCACGAAAGCGUGGGGAUCAAACAGGAUUAGAUACCCCAGUAGUC